Molecule: ribosomal RNA, 463 nt
Filed under: Vreelandella stevensii
Lineage: Bacteria; Pseudomonadati; Pseudomonadota; Gammaproteobacteria; Oceanospirillales; Halomonadaceae
Description: partial 16S ribosomal RNA
Rfam family: Bacterial small subunit ribosomal RNA
Source: RNAcentral
CCUAGGGGGCUGCAGUGGGGAAUAUUGGACAAUGGGCGAAAGCCUGAUCCAGCCAUGCCGCGUGUGUGAAGAAGGCCUUCGGGUUGUAAAGCACUUUCAGUGGGGAAGAAAGCCUUGGGGCUAAUACCCUCGAGGAAGGACAUCACCCACAGAAGAAGCACCGGCUAACUCCGUGCCAGCAGCCGCGGUAAUACGGAGGGUGCGAGCGUUAAUCGGAAUUACUGGGCGUAAAGCGCGCGUAGGCGGUCUGAUAAGCCGGUUGUGAAAGCCCCGGGCUCAACCUGGGAACGGCAUCCGGAACUGUCAGGCUAGAGUGCAGGAGAGGAAGGUAGAAUUCCCGGUGUAGCGGUGAAAUGCGUAGAGAUCGGGAGGAAUACCAGUGGCGAAGGCGGCCUUCUGGACUGACACUGACGCUGAGGUGCGAAAGCGUGGGUAGCAAACAGGAUUAGAUACCCCGGUAGUC